GCCGGGCGUGGUGGCUCACACCUGUAAUCCCAGCACUUUAGGAGGCUGAGGCGGGUGGAUCACUUGAGGUCAGGAGUUCGAGACCAGCCUGACCAACAUGGUGAAACCCCGUCUCUA
This 117-nucleotide non-coding RNA is filed under the name Pan paniscus (pygmy chimpanzee). Lineage: Eukaryota; Metazoa; Chordata; Mammalia; Primates; Hominidae. The record is from Rfam by way of RNAcentral. RNAcentral also lists the same sequence under 1 other name.